RNAcentral lists this unclassified non-coding RNA (258 nucleotides) under uncultured Bordetella sp. Its description in RNAcentral is "partial 16S-23S ribosomal RNA intergenic spacer". It matches the Rfam family "Bacterial small subunit ribosomal RNA", at positions 10 to 270 of the family's 1533-position model. Lineage: Bacteria; Pseudomonadati; Pseudomonadota; Betaproteobacteria; Burkholderiales; Alcaligenaceae. The record is from RNAcentral.
GGUUCGAUUCUGGCUCAGAUUGAACGCUGGCGGGAUGCUUUACACAUGCAAAGUCGAACGGCAGCACGGACUUCGGUCUGGUGGCGAGUGGCGAACGGGUGAGUAAUGUAUCGGAACGUGCCCUGCGUAGCGGGGGAUAACUGCGCGGCGUAGCUAAUGCCGCAUGCGCCCUUCCAGGGAAAGCGGGGACCUUCGGGCCUCGCACUAUUAGAGCAGCCGAUAUCGGAUUAGCUAGUUGGUGAAAUUAACGGCUCACCG